GCGAUGCAGUCGAACGGUGAACACCAGAGCUUGCUCUGUGGGAUCAGUGGCGAACGGGUGAGUAACACGUGAGCAACCUGCCCCUGACUCUGGGAUAAGCGCUGGAAACGGCGUCUAAUACUGGAUACGAACCACGACCGCAUGGUCAGUGGUUGGAAAGAAUUUCGGUUGGGGAUGGGCUCGCGGCCUAUCAGCUUGUUGGUGAGGUAAUGGCUCACCAAGGCGUCGACGGGUAGCCGGCCUGAGAGGGUGACCGGCCACACUGGGACUGAGACACGGCCCAGACUCCUACGGGAGGCAGCAGUGGGGAAUAUUGCACAAUGGGCGCAAGCCUGAUGCAGCAACGCCGCGUGAGGGAUGACGGCCUUCGGGUUGUAAACCUCUUUUAGCAGGGAAGAAGCGAAAGUGACGGUACCUGCAGAAAAAGCGCCGGCUAACUACGUGCCAGCAGCCGCGGUAAUACGUAGGGCGCAAGCGUUAUCCGGAAUUAUUGGGCGUAAAGAGCUCGUAGGCGGUUUGUCGCGUCUGCUGUGAAAUCCCGAGGCUCAACCUCGGGCCUGCAGUGGGUACGGGCAGACUAGAGUGCGGUAGGGGAGAUUGGAAUUCCUGGUGUAGCGGUGGAAUGCGCAGAUAUCAGGAGGAACACCGAUGGCGAAGGCAGAUCUCUGGGCCGUAACUGACGCUGAGGAGCGAAAGGGUGGGGAGCAAACAGGCUUAGAUACCCUGGUAGUCCACCCCGUAAACGUUGGGAACUAGUUGUGGGGUCCAUUCCACGGAUUCCGUGACGCAGCUAACGCAUUAAGUUCCCCGCCUGGGGAGUACGGCCGCAAGGCUAAAACUCAAAGGAAUUGACGGGGACCCGCACAAGCGGCGGAGCAUGCGGAUUAAUUCGAUGCAACGCGAAGAACCUUACCAAGGCUUGACAUAUACGAGAACGGGCCAGAAAUGGUCAACUCUUUGGACACUCGUAAACAGGUGGUGCAUGGUUGUCGUCAGCUCGUGUCGUGAGAUGUUGGGUUAAGUCCCGCAACGAGCGCAACCCUCGUUCUAUGUUGCCAGCACGUAAUGGUGGGAACUCAUGGGAUACUGCCGGGGUCAACUCGGAGGAAGGUGGGGAUGACGUCAAAUCAUCAUGCCCCUUAUGUCUUGGGCUUCACGCAUGCUACAAUGGCCGGUACAAAGGGCUGCAAUACCGCGAGGUGGAGCGAAUCCCAAAAAGCCGGUCCCAGUUCGGAUUGAGGUCUGCAACUCGACCUCAUGAAGUCGGAGUCGCUAGUAAUCGCAGAUCAGCAACGCUGCGGUGAAUACGUUCCCGGGUCUUGUACACACCGCCCGUCAAGUCAUGAAAGUCGGUAACACCUGAAGCCGUAU
This 1371-nucleotide ribosomal RNA is filed under the name Microbacterium sp. FSBRD6. RNAcentral describes it as "bacterial SSU rRNA". It matches the Rfam family "Bacterial small subunit ribosomal RNA". The record is from RNAcentral. Lineage: Bacteria; Bacillati; Actinomycetota; Actinomycetes; Micrococcales; Microbacteriaceae.